AGCGAACGCUGGCGGCAGGCCUAACACAUGCAAGUCGAACGAACUCUUCGGAGUUAGUGGCGGACGGGUGAGUAACACGUGGGAACGUGCCCUUUGGUACGGAAUAACUCAGGGAAACUUGAGCUAAUACCGUAUGUGCCCUUCGGGGGAAAGAUUUAUCGCCAUUGGAGCGGCCCGCGUCUGAUUAGCUGGUUGGUGAGGUAAAGGCUCACCAAGGCUACGAUCAGUAGCUGGUCUGAGAGGAUGAUCAGCCACAUUGGGACUGAGACACGGCCCAAACUCCUACGGGAGGCAGCAGUGGGGAAUCUUGCGCAAUGGGCGAAAGCCUGACGCAGCCAUGCCGCGUGAAUGAUGAAGGUCUUAGGAUUGUAAAAUUCUUUCACCGGGGACGAUAAUGACGGUACCCGGAGAAGAAGCCCCGGCUAACUUCGUG
This 433-nucleotide ribosomal RNA is filed under the name uncultured bacterium. Its description in RNAcentral is "partial 16S ribosomal RNA". It matches the Rfam family "Bacterial small subunit ribosomal RNA", at positions 29 to 507 of the family's 1533-position model. The record is from RNAcentral.